RNAcentral lists this ribosomal RNA (879 nucleotides) under uncultured Zetaproteobacteria bacterium. RNAcentral's name for it is "bacterial SSU rRNA". It matches the Rfam family "Bacterial small subunit ribosomal RNA", at positions 25 to 898 of the family's 1533-position model. The record is from RNAcentral. Lineage: Bacteria; Pseudomonadati; Pseudomonadota; Candidatius Mariprofundia.
CUGAUGACGCUGGCGGCGUGCCUAACACAUGCAAGUCGAACGGUAACAGGGACUUCGGUCCGCUGACGAGUGGCGCACGGGUGAGUAACGCGUGGAGUUACCUGCCCAUCAGUGGGGAACAACUCCGGGAAACSGGAGCUAAUACCGCAUACGACCUUCGGGUGAAAGAGGGGGAUCUUCGGACCUCUCGCUGAUGGAUGGUUCCGCGUCCGAUUAGUUAGUUGGUAAGGUAAUGGCUUACCAAGACGAUGAUCGGUAGCUGGUCUGAGAGGAUGAUCAGCCACACUGGAACUGAGACACGGUCCAGACUCCUACGGGAGGCAGCAGUGGGGAAUUUUGCACAAUGGGCGAAAGCCUGAUGCAGCGACGCCGCGUGCGGGAAGAAGGCCUUCGGGUUGUAAACCGCUUUCAACAGGGAAGAAGGAAUGAGGGCCAAUACCCCUCUGCCUUGACGGUACCUGUAGAAGAAGCCCCGGCUAAUUUCGUGCCAGCAGCCGCGGUAAUACGAAAGGGGCAAGCGUUGUUCGGAUUUACUGGGCGUAAAGAGAUCGUAGGUGGCUUGUUAAGUCGGAUGUGAAAUCCCGGGGCUCAACCCCGGAACUGCAUUCGAUACUGGCAGGCUUGAGUUCGGGAGGGGGAAGCGGAAUUCCGUGUGUAGCAGUGAAAUGCGUAGAUAUACGGAGGAACACCUGAGGCGAAGGCGGCUUCCUGGACCGAUACUGACACUGAGGAUCGAAAGCGUGGGUAGCAAACAGGAUUAGAUACCCUGGUAGUCCACGCCCUAAACGAUGUCUACUAGCCGUUGCGGGUAUCGACCCCUGCAGUGGCGCAGCUAACGCGAUAAGUAGACCGCCUGGGGAGUACGGCCGCAAGCGCACU